RNAcentral lists this transfer-messenger RNA (386 nucleotides) under Candidatus Omnitrophota bacterium. It matches the Rfam family "transfer-messenger RNA". From Rfam's summary of the family: Bacterial tmRNA, also known as 10Sa RNA or SsrA, is named for its dual tRNA and mRNA-like properties. Lineage: Bacteria; Pseudomonadati; Candidatus Omnitrophota. The record is from RNAcentral.
GGGGGUGAUUGGUCUCGACUUGAGAUGCUGGUCUAUAGGUGGCAUGCCGGGGAAGCUUGGUCGGCCCCGUUAUCAAUCCAAGCAACCAAUAAAAGCAGACUACAACCCUGUAGCUGAAGCCGAGGCGAUUCUUGCCGAGGCGCCUGUCCUCGCUUAAUUAAUUAAGUGAGGCCCUCGGGGAGGAAACUCCUGCGGUCCUUUUCGAGGUCAUGAGCAGGAUAGUCCCGCGCAGCGCUUCCGGGCGCGGGGCGAACCUUUUGGAAGCUGGUCCCGCCAUACUUUGUUUGCCAGGGAAGGCGGGAUGAGAUAUAAAAGACAAACUACGCAUGUAGAGGCUUAUGGGGCAACACCCAAGGACCCGGGUUCGAUCCCCGGCACCUCCACCA